Non-coding RNA from Pelobates cultripes (western spadefoot toad), 1169 nucleotides. The record is from the annotation of a GenBank genome assembly. Lineage: Eukaryota; Metazoa; Chordata; Amphibia; Anura; Pelobatidae.
GGACGAUAAAGCGUUUGUGAGGAUCUGGGGCAAUUAGAACAGGCGCAUUAACAAGGGUUUGCUUCAGAGCUUGGAAAGCGACCUCACACUCCGGGGACAGCAGGACCUGUCUGGGUAAAUUCUUCUUAGUCAAGUCAGUCAGGGGAUUGGCCAUGGCGCUAUAAGAAGCGCCUAUAGUAGCCAGCUGUCCCUAAGAAGGCCAUGACUUGCGUCUUGGUAUGGGGAGUGGGCCAGUUAGCAACGGCCUCAAUCUUAGCAGGCUCUGGCCAUUGCUUACCACAGCCUACACGGUGGCCCAGGUACUGCACCUCCACCAUACCAAUAUGACACUUGUCUGGCUUCAAGGUUAAGCCGGUUCCCCUUAAUCCUGUUUAAUACUGUCCCUAUGUGGUCGAGGUGAGCCUCCCAGGAGUCGCUAUAGAUCGCGAUGGCAUCCAGUUAUACACAAGCAUAAUCCUGGAGACCAUCUAAGAGGCGGAAGGUGGCUGGGGCGUUCUUCAUCCCAAGCAGCAUAACCUGGAACUGGUAUAAGCCGAACGGGGUGACAAAGGCCAAAUUUGAUAUGGGCUUCUCGACUAGGGGAAUCUGCAAAUAGCCUUUACAAAGAUCUAUAGUGUUCAGAUAUUUUCCUCUUGCAAUACAGAGGACAUCGGGUAGGGAAUCCGUGACCGUUUUAUCAUUGAGCCUCCUGCAGUUCACACAAAAAUGGGUUGCACCGUUCCGUUUUGGCACCAGUACUACAGGCGAGGCCCAAGGACUUUCAGAAUGCUCAAUGACCCCCAAGCGGAGCAUCUCUUAUCUUGUUACGCAUCCCUUCCCGCACUGCCUCUGGUACGCGGUAAAGAGGCUGUCUCAAGGGAGCCUGGCCUGGGGUCUCUAAUUUGUGGGUAGUUAACGGGUAUACCCUGGCUACUGGGAGAAAGUGGCUUGUUUGGCUUCCAGGAGGUUGAUCGCUUGGGCCCGUUCUUGCGGUCCCAGUCGUUCCCCCAAUUGGACCAAUUCUAUGGCCUCUGUUGGGCAAGGGAAGGGCCUUCGGAUUCUCAAAUGCUGACGCGCAUACUGCAGCUACCUCUUCUUCCCUGUCUUUGUACUCUUUGAGCAUGUUGAUGUGAAACGUUAGUUUCACAUCCUCAUUCUCGCAAAUAGCUACUGUGUAGGUGGUAUCACAC